This 514-nucleotide ribosomal RNA is filed under the name uncultured Bacillus sp. Its description in RNAcentral is "bacterial SSU rRNA". It matches the Rfam family "Bacterial small subunit ribosomal RNA", at positions 28 to 522 of the family's 1533-position model. The record is from RNAcentral. Lineage: Bacteria; Bacillati; Bacillota; Bacilli; Caryophanales; Bacillaceae.
GAUGAACGCUGGCGGCGUGCCUAAUACAUGCAAGUCGAGCGAAUGGAUUGAGAGCUUGCUCUUAUGAAGUUAGCGGCGGACGGGUGAGUAACACGUGGGUAACCUGCCCAUAAGACUGGGAUAACUCCGGGAAACCGGGGCUAAUACCGGAUAACAUUUUGAACUGCAUGGUUCGAAAUUGAAAGGCGGCUUCGGCUGUCACUUAUGGAUGGACCCGCGUCGCAUUAGCUAGUUGGUGAGGUAACGGCUCACCAAGGCAACGAUGCGUAGCCGACCUGAGAGGGUGAUCGGCCACACUGGGACUGAGACACGGCCCAGACUCCUACGGGAGGCAGCAGUAGGGAAUUUUCCGCAAUGGACGAAAGUCUGACGGAGCAACGCCGCGUGAGUGAUGAAGGCUUUCGGGUCGUAAAACUCUGUUGUUAGGGAAGAACAAGUGCUAGUUGAAUAAGCUGGCACCUUGACGGUACCUAACCAGAAAGCCACGGCUAACUACGUGCCAGCAGCCGCGGUA